GGCCCAAAGUUAUGAGAACCUGGACGCCGCAGAUGAUCAGACUGAUCGGACUGAUCAGACUGAUCAGAUCGUCCACGAGCAGGACGUCCCAGACUACGAGCAGGUUGACCAGGACGUCCCGGACUACGAGCAGGACGUCCCACACUACGAGCAGGACGUCCCAGACUACGAGCAGGUUGACCAGGACGUCCCGGACUGCGAGCAGGACGUCCCAGACUACGAGCAGGUUGACCAGGACGUCCCAGACUGCGAGCAGGACGUCCCGGAAUACGAGCAGGACGUCUCAGACUACGAGCAGGUUGACCAGGACGUCCCGGACUGCGAGCAGGACGUCCCAGACUACGAGCAGGUUGACCAGGACGUCCCAGACUACGAGCAG
Gasterosteus aculeatus aculeatus (three-spined stickleback) is the source of this 379-nucleotide long non-coding RNA. Lineage: Eukaryota; Metazoa; Chordata; Actinopteri; Perciformes; Gasterosteidae. The record is from Ensembl.